Molecule: long non-coding RNA, 715 nt
Organism: Ruditapes philippinarum (Manila clam)
Lineage: Eukaryota; Metazoa; Mollusca; Bivalvia; Venerida; Veneridae
Exons: 2
Source: RefSeq, a predicted model, not a curated record
UUAAAUUGGCUCAAGAAAAUCACGAUUGGCUCAAACUUACAAAAAGUAUGACUUUUGGAAUCUCCAGUCUAAAUUAAGCAUUUGCUAUUUUAAGAAUGGAAAAGUACACAUUUGGUUUUCCAUUUUUAAUUUCCGCUUUACCGCUUCUUCUCAAAACACAGCGACACAGUCUACUUCUUGUGGAUCAUUGACUGGUUUAUUUUUUACUUCCCUUCUGAAUUAAAUAUCGAUAUGAACAGUAACACAGUCUAAUACACUGGCCCUCACCGUUUGUUUACAUCAGCUGAUAAAUAUGACACUAAUUGUCGUGAACAUACCUGGCAGAUUGUUGAAUAUGCAUUGGAAAAUUGGGUCUUAAUAUUUAAUAUGAAACAAUAAGUAGCGGCAUCCCAAGAUUACUCAAGAUUAUCGCUAAUCAAAUCAGAAGUUGGGUAUGAAAUAGCGACAAAUUAUGUUCUGCAGUUGACAACUUGACCUGUUGACGAUACAGAUAGUCUUCAAGCCAAAUCUUUGUCAUUAACAAAGCAAGCUGAAGCAGCACAUUGGAAUGUGUUUCUGCUGUUACUGUCAUGCCACUGACUUAACCAGAACCAGGCAAAUGUUAUAGACAGUUUACACUGAGCUGGAAGCUUUUAUGAUUAUUGACUGUAAAUUAUAUAAGUUUGAUGUGUUAAUGUGAUAAAAAAUGUAGGUACCAAAAUAAAAGUGGACAACA